GGCUUAACACAUGCAAGUCGAACGGGCGUAGCAAUACGUCAGUGGCAGACGGGUGAGUAACGCGUGGGAACGUACCUUUUGGUUCGGAACAACACAGGGAAACUUGUGCUAAUACCGGAUAAGCCCUUACGGGGAAAGAUUUAUCGCCGAAAGAUCGGCCCGCGUCUGAUUAGCUAGUUGGUGAGGUAACGGCUCACCAAGGCGACGAUCAGUAGCUGGUCUGAGAGGAUGAUCAGCCACAUUGGGACUGAGACACGGCCCAAACUCCUACGGGAGGCAGCAGUGGGGAAUAUUGGACAAUGGGCGCAAGCCUGAUCCAGCCAUGCCGCGUGAGUGAUGAAGGCCCUAGGGUUGUAAAGCUCUUUUGUGCGGGAAGAUAAUGACGGUACCGCAAGAAUAAGCCCCGGCUAACUUCGUGCCAGCAGCCGCGGUAAUACGAAGGGGGCUAGCGUUGCUCGGAAUCACUGGGCGUAAAGGGUGCGUAGGCGGGUCUUUAAGUCAGAGGUGAAAUCCUGGAGCUCAACUCCAGAACUGCCUUUGAUACUGAGGAUCUUGAGUUCGGGAGAGGUGAGUGGAACUGCGAGUGUAGAGGUGAAUUCGUAGACAUUCGCAAGAACACCAGUGGCGAAGGCGGCUCA
This 638-nucleotide ribosomal RNA is filed under the name uncultured Alphaproteobacteria bacterium. RNAcentral describes it as "bacterial SSU rRNA". It matches the Rfam family "Bacterial small subunit ribosomal RNA", at positions 45 to 728 of the family's 1533-position model. The record is from RNAcentral. Lineage: Bacteria; Pseudomonadati; Pseudomonadota; Alphaproteobacteria.